GACGAACGCUGGCGGAGUGCCUAAUACAUGCAAGUCGAACGAGAGCGACCGGUGCUUGCACUGGUCAAUCUAGUGGCGAACGGGUGAGUAACACGUGGGUAACCUGCCCAUCAGAGGGGGAUAACAUCCGGAAACGGAUGCUAAAACCGCAUAGGUCUUCGAGCCGCAUGGCUUGAAGAGGAAAAGAGGCGCAAGCUUCUGCUGAUGGAUGGACCCGCGGUGCAUUAGCUAGUUGGUGAGGUAACGGCUCACCAAGGCCGUGAUGCAUAGCCGACCUGAGAGGGUGAUCGGCCACAUUGGGACUGAGACACGGCCCAAACUCCUACGGGAGGCAGCAGUAGGGAAUCUUCCGCAAUGGACGCAAGUCUGACGGAGCAACGCCGCGUGAGUGAAGAAGGUUUUCGGAUCGUAAAACUCUGUUGUUAGAGAAGAACAAGUGCUAGAGUAACUGUUAGCGCCUUGACGGUAUCUAACCAGAAAGCCACGGCUAACUACGUG
RNAcentral lists this ribosomal RNA (498 nucleotides) under uncultured bacterium. RNAcentral describes it as "partial 16S ribosomal RNA". It matches the Rfam family "Bacterial small subunit ribosomal RNA", at positions 28 to 507 of the family's 1533-position model. The record is from RNAcentral.